RNAcentral lists this long non-coding RNA (405 nucleotides) under Calidris pugnax (ruff). RNAcentral's name for it is "lncRNA (ENSCPUG00000011778.1)". The record is from RNAcentral. Lineage: Eukaryota; Metazoa; Chordata; Aves; Charadriiformes; Scolopacidae.
CUGAAACUUGUCUGUCCCAUGCAGUCAUACAACCUGACUAUCUGGACACGCAGGUGCAUAGAUUUAUUAGGAUUCUCCUUCUUCCCUGGGCAGUCAUUUCAACACUGCCCAUAGAUGCUCACAAGUGGGAAUGGGUGCCUGUCUCCUGUCUACCAAUCUACUGAGAAUCAAGGAAUUGGAAAGCAAAACAGGGAUUAAUUCUCAGCAACAAAAACGUAAAGAAGUGGAGUGGAACCCUGAGGAGCAGAUGGAGCUGGGAGAGAUGCAUGGAUAUAUCUACAUUGAGAACCCCUUGGAAUAUCUUUACUGUUAGGACAGAGUUGUCUUUGCUGUUGUAGGUUGCCAGAUGUUUAGAAGGGAGGCAGGUCAACCAUGAUCUACUGUUUAAGAGCAGCGUAGACUUAG